Molecule: long non-coding RNA, 1111 nt
Filed under: Capsella rubella
Lineage: Eukaryota; Viridiplantae; Streptophyta; Magnoliopsida; Brassicales; Brassicaceae
Description: long non-coding RNA (CRUB_LNC004130)
Source: RNAcentral
CCGGACCUAGCUGGCUUUACCCACAACAACCGACGUUCAUGGCGCUCCGUGACAAAAUUCACGUCGCAUUACAAGAAUACAAUUUUUUUUUUUUAACAAGAAUACAAUUACUACCCUAAGGGGGUGUUAUUAGUUGUUUAAGUUAAAUUCAACUCCGUUAGAUUUUAAAAUUCAUAAGAUUUUCAAAAUCUGGGUUCAUUGAGACUGAUUUACUAUUCAUUCUUUAAAUCAGUGGAAGUGUAUUUACACUGACACAUGAUAUCUUUUGGUUUUGAACAAUAUAAUUGAAUUCUAUAACAAAUGAUUUUACAAUUUUCAAUGAAAUUAUACCAAACUUUUACCAUCACGUAUUUUUUUCCCAUUUCAAAUUUCUGUAUUGAAGUCUUAACAUAUCUUUUAAAGAUGAAAGUUUUUUUUUUUUUUUUUUUGUUAAAGUGAUCAAAUGAAUCAUACAACAACUGUUAAAACAAUAUACACAUUAACUAGUGAUAAAAAAAAAGACUGGGAAAAAAAUGAUAAAGAGAGAUACAUAUGUGUUGGGUCAUGGGUGAAUGAGUUUGCAAAUAUUGAUAACGUACGUGUAUUACGUUAAAUGAAACUUUUAUUAAUUUAUUAGAUUGUCAAAUCUCAUGUUAGAAGGUUGGUUUUGGGAUUGACAUAAUUUACACAUGAAAUCAGUUUCAGAUUCACUCAAAGCUUUUCAAAUGAAAUCAUUUGUGAAAAUCCACCAAACUUGAAUAACAUAAGACUUUAGUUAAUAAUUGUAAGUAUAAGAACCAAUAACACUAGAUUUUAAACUCUUUUAAUGAAGAUUUUGCAAAUAUAAGAACCAAUAACACUAGAUUUUAAACUCUUUUAAUGAAGAUUUUGCAAAUAUAAGAACCAAUAACACUUGAUUUGAGUAAAGUAUUUAAAAUCAUUGAUUAAAUAACAUUAGACUUGGGUUAGAGUUAGACUCUAUUAAAAUCCAUUAUCCAAUAACACCCACUAAAUCUAUCUAUUUCUUACAAGAACCCUAAAAUUAAAAUAAAACCCUAAAUCCUUAUAUACUGAUACGUAGAAGAAGAUCAAGAAGUAUUGCGUCAAUCUCAGGAAAAAGGUAUUAGAUCGC